This 495-nucleotide ribosomal RNA is filed under the name uncultured bacterium. RNAcentral describes it as "partial 16S ribosomal RNA". It matches the Rfam family "Bacterial small subunit ribosomal RNA", at positions 28 to 507 of the family's 1533-position model. The record is from RNAcentral.
GACGAACGCUGGCGGCGUGCCUAAUACAUGCAAGUAGAACGCUAACGGAGGAGCUUGCUUCUCUGGCUGGGUUGCGAACGGGUGAGUAACGCGUAGGUAACCUGCCUUGUAUUUUGGUAUAACUAUUGGAAACGAUAGCUACUCCCGCAUAAUAGCCGUUGUUGCAUGAUAACUGUUUGAAAGUUGCAAUUUCCCCGCUACCAUAUGCACCUGCGUUGUUUUCGCUUGUUGGGGGGGUAACGGCUCACCAAGGCGACGAUACAUAGCCGACCUGAGAGGGUGAUCGGCCAAACUGGGAAUGAGACACGGCCCAGACUCCUACGGGAGGGAGCAGGAGGGAAUCUUCGGCAAUGGACGGAAGUCUGACCGAGCAACGCCGCGUGAGUGAAGAAGGGUUUCGGAUCGUAAAGCUCUGUUGGAAGAGAAGAACGAGUGUGAGAGUGGAAAGUUCACACUGUGACGGUAUCUAACCAGAAAGGAACGGCUAACUACGUG